GGGUGGUGGCUCAGUGGCUAAGAGCACUGGCUGUUCCUCCAGAGGACCCGGGUUCAAUUCCCAGCACCCA
RNAcentral lists this transfer RNA (70 nucleotides) under Mesocricetus auratus (golden hamster). It matches the Rfam family "tRNA". From Rfam's summary of the family: Transfer RNA (tRNA) molecules are approximately 80 nucleotides in length. Lineage: Eukaryota; Metazoa; Chordata; Mammalia; Rodentia; Cricetidae. The record is from Rfam by way of RNAcentral.